AAAAAAAGUGUGAUGAAAUAUUGUUUUUUGUUCCCACAGCAUGUACAAUUUUGUGCGUUUAAAGGUGCUGCGAACAACAUAUCAAAAGAUGCCAGAAUUGUUUUGGGACCCCAACCCUCUUCCCUCUCCCCCACCCGCCCCGCCGCGCCUUCAUUCGUGGAAACGUAAAUAAUAAACAGUGGAAGUCGGUGUCGCCUGCUGCUCAAUACCGAAAUUAUACCGACGCGAAUUUAUCAAAGGUUUUCAUCAGAGAUUUUGGGUAGACAGCGCUGCUUUUUGACAUUAUAAUCGAACACGGCCCGGAAAUGCUCUUGACAUGAGCAAAGAAGUCUCGGAGUCAUUUUACUUGAAAGAAUAGGUGAGUUGGCAUGACAAGUAACCAAAGCUGGUCCAAUUUGUCUCUAUUCAGACUCUAUGAGAAGGCGUGCAUCAAAGUUCUGUUUUUAAAUGUUUUUGUGGUGCCGUGGGUCUUCCCUGGUGAUUUCAAUGCUCCUCUGUCAAAAUCCAGGCUGAAAUUGGCCUGGAUUGGUCGGGCAGACUCCCCUUUCACUUGCUCUGUGUAAAUAUCAUGGAGCAACACACUACAUCAGAAAAUGAAAAAUAAUAAAAUUGCUGUAAAUGGUAGGGAUUGAUCCGACUCCGACAGCACCUUUUUUCAAUCUCUCAGUCGAAAUUUCAUACCACUGGGCCAUUUCAAGUGAGUUUUGUUUUUCGUGGGUGGGUUCGCCAUCGCCAGCGGGGUAGGCAGCCCAUUCUACGCUGCGCGCCACAUUCUAAUGACAACGCCUUAAAAAAUUCAAGUUUCUGUGGACAGGGGUGGUUUCUGACGGAACCAAAGGUAGUUUUGUGGUCUCUGGUUCACCCCUGUCGAUUCAACUACUUUUCCGUCAAAAUCCAGACACAUCAAUUUUCGCAUUUCGCCAUUUUAAGAGAGUUACGCGUGUUUUUCUCGGACCAGCUCGCGCGUCAGAUUCAAAAGACCACCCCUUAAAACUC
Long non-coding RNA from Frankliniella occidentalis (western flower thrips), 996 nucleotides. RefSeq lists it as uncharacterized. NCBI's taxonomy places the organism in Eukaryota, Metazoa, Arthropoda, Insecta, Thysanoptera, Thripidae. The transcript has 3 exons. The record is from RefSeq and is a predicted model, not a curated record.